GGAGAGGUGGCAGAGUGGUCGAAUGCGCCCGACUUGAAAUCGGGUGUCCGCAAGGACCGAGGGUUCGAAUCCCUCCCUCUCCG
Phormidium tenue NIES-30 is the source of this 83-nucleotide transfer RNA. It matches the Rfam family "tRNA". From Rfam's summary of the family: Transfer RNA (tRNA) molecules are approximately 80 nucleotides in length. Their secondary structure includes four short double-helical elements and three loops (D, anti-codon, and T loops). Lineage: Bacteria; Bacillati; Cyanobacteriota; Cyanophyceae; Oscillatoriales; Oscillatoriaceae. The record is from Rfam.